CACUAAGAAGCUAAACAGGACCGUAGCGUUAGCCUUUUAAGCUAAAGACUGGUGACUUCCAACCACCCUUAGUGA
RNAcentral lists this transfer RNA (75 nucleotides) under Scatophagus argus. Its description in RNAcentral is "tRNA-Lys". It matches the Rfam family "tRNA". Rfam says of the family: Transfer RNA (tRNA) molecules are approximately 80 nucleotides in length. Their secondary structure includes four short double-helical elements and three loops (D, anti-codon, and T loops). Further hydrogen bonds mediate the characteristic L-shaped molecular structure. tRNAs have two regions of fundamental functional importance: the anti-codon, which is responsible for specific mRNA codon recognition, and the 3' end, to which the tRNAs corresponding amino acid is attached (by aminoacyl-tRNA synthetases). tRNAs cope with the degeneracy of the genetic code in two manners: having more than one tRNA (with a specific anti-codon) for a particular amino acid; and 'wobble' base-pairing, i.e. permitting non-standard base-pairing at the 3rd anti-codon position. Lineage: Eukaryota; Metazoa; Chordata; Actinopteri; Scatophagidae. The record is from RNAcentral.